UCCGGUUGAUCCUGCCGGAGGCUACCGCUAUUGGAGUUCGAUUAAGCCAUGCGAGUCGCGAGAAAUUAGAUUCUCGGCGUACCGCUCAGUAACACGUGGGUAACCUGCCCUAUGCUGGAUAAUAACCUCGGGAAACUGAGAAUAAUGAUCCAUAGUUCACUACGCCUGGAACGGUGAGUGGAUGAAAGCUCCGGCGGCAUAGGAUGGGCCUGCGGCGUAUCAGGUUGUAGGGGGUGUAACGUACCCUCUAGCCCUCUACGCGUACGGGUGUUGGGAGACAUAGCCCGGAGAUGGAUUCUGAGACACGAAUCCAGACCCUACGGGGUGCAGCAGGCGCGAAAACUUGGCAAUGCGAGAAAUCGUGACCAGGGAACUCCAAGUGCAUGGGGUAAGACCCAUGCUUUUCUUGACUCUAAAUAGGUCUUGGAAUAAGGGGUGGGUAAGGACGGUGCCAGCCGCCGCGGUAAUACCGGCGCCUCAAGUGGUAGUCGCUUUUAUUGGGCCUAAAACGUCCGUAGCCGGUCUGAUACAUUCGUGGGUAAAUCAACCAGCUUAACUGGUUGAAUUCUGCGAGGACGGUCAGACUUGGGACCGGGAGAGGUGUGGGGUACGCUCAGGGUAGGGGUAAAAUCCUGUCAUCCUGAGCGGACCACCUGUUGCGAAGGCGCCACACUAGAACGGAUCCGACGGUCAGGGACGAAGCCUAGGGGCACGAACCGGAUUAGAUACCCGGGUAGUCCUAGGUGUAAACGCUGUGGACUUGAUGUUGGGGGUGCUCCGAGCACUCUCAGUGUCGAAGCGAAGGUGAUAAGUCCACUGCCUGGGAAGUACGGUCGCAAGGCUGAAACUUAAAGGAAUUGGCGGGGGAGCACCGCAACCUGAGGAUUGUGCGGUUUAAUUGGAUUCAACGCCG
Molecule: ribosomal RNA, 913 nt
Filed under: uncultured marine archaeon
Lineage: Archaea
Description: bacterial SSU rRNA
Rfam family: Archaeal small subunit ribosomal RNA
Source: RNAcentral